RNAcentral lists this ribosomal RNA (404 nucleotides) under Spathosternum prasiniferum prasiniferum. Its description in RNAcentral is "eukaryotic LSU rRNA". The record is from RNAcentral. Lineage: Eukaryota; Metazoa; Arthropoda; Insecta; Orthoptera; Acrididae.
CGGCCAUUCCAGGGUACAAAGUACGUGAAACUGCUUAGAGGUUAAACCCGAUGAACCUAAAUAUCCAGUAUGAGAAAGUCAUUAUUAUGAGUAUAUUAUUUUAUAAUGUAUUAAUAGUGUGCAUUUUUUUCAUAAAAAGGACAUUGUAAUCUGUUAAUACAAUUUAUAUAUUCUUUUAUAUAUUAUUUUUAUCAUAAAGAGUCAUGUAUAAGUUUACAUAUAAAUUAAUUAAUUUAUUAAUUAAUUGAUGUAAGAUCGAUGAAUUUCUAGAUAAAUAGUUAACAGUAUUAAAAUAUAUAAUGCUUACAUAAUUUUUUAUGUUUUAUAUAUAAUAUGUACAUGUACAUAUAUAUGUUUUUGCAUUUAUAUUAUAACAAUGCUAUAGAUUUAGGUACUGCAGUUUG